GAUGAACGCUGGCGGCGUGCCUAAUACAUGCAAGUCGAACGCUGGAGAUCUAGCUUGCUAGAUCGAAGGAGUGGCGAACGGGUGAGUAAUACAUAAGCAACCUACCCACGAAGACUGGGAUAAUCUCUGGAAACGGGGACUAAUACCGGAUAGGUAAUCGGAAGGCAUCUUCUGGUUAUUAAAGGUUAAAAACCCUGGUGGAUGGGCUUAUGGCGCAUUAGUUAGUUGGUGAGGUAACGGCCCACCAAGACGAUGAUGCGUAGCCGGCCUGAGAGGGUGAACGGCCACAUUGGGACUGAGACACGGCCCAGACUCCUACGGGAGGCAGCAGUAGGGAAUUUUCGGCAAUGGGGGCAACCCUGACCGAGCAACGCCGCGUGAGUGAAGACGGCCUUCGGGUUGUAAAGCUCUGUUGUAAGGGAAGAACGGUAGAUAGAGAAUAUCUAAGUGACGGUACCUUACCAGAAAGCCACGGCUAACUACGUG
RNAcentral lists this ribosomal RNA (486 nucleotides) under uncultured bacterium. RNAcentral describes it as "partial 16S ribosomal RNA". It matches the Rfam family "Bacterial small subunit ribosomal RNA", at positions 28 to 507 of the family's 1533-position model. The record is from RNAcentral.